This 3576-nucleotide long non-coding RNA is filed under the name Sus scrofa (pig). RNAcentral's name for it is "lncRNA (ENSSSCG00065029544.1)". The record is from RNAcentral. Lineage: Eukaryota; Metazoa; Chordata; Mammalia; Artiodactyla; Suidae.
AAUGACUUAAUGGUGGCCUUGCCAGGAACAGUGAUGCAAAGGUAUGCUAAAUAGAUGUCCUUUGGUGUGACAUUGCCUGCCUGAUCAUCUCCUGGUUCGUCUCAUUUUCUAAGCCUUAUGCACCAGCUUUCUUAGGACUUUGACCCAAUAUCUUUCCAACAGCUUUUUCUUAAUUGGAAUUAAUUCCCCCCCCUCCUCCCCUUUACAAAUUGAAUUUAAAAUUCUUGUUAUUUGGUUUUAGAAGAGUUUACAUUGAAGUAAAAUGACACAAACAUUGAAAAUAAAGGAAUAGCAAAAAUAGUGUUAAAACUUGCAAGUUUCUUUCAUUUCAAGCAAAGGCUAAAACCUUUCUAGGCCAAAAUCUUUGAUUGAAUAAAAGAACAUUUUUAAUUAGUAAAAAGUUAGGACCACUAAACUAUAAGGCUUGAACUUCUGUGUGAUAAACUCAGGUGGCACUGAAGCAUGAGAUAGUUUCUUUAGAGAAAUUAAUAGCAUCAGUCUUUUCAGGAGACUUCACCUGUCAGAAUUUAAUAGAUCAAGUAAACAAAAAUUAGGGCUAUAAGAUUUGAAUAGCAGUAUGCUUUGUUUAAUAGAUGUAUGUCAAACUUUGUUCGCAAUGAAUAUUUUUUUUUUGCAGAAAAAUUUAUUUUUUUAGCUUAAUUAUUUUUAUUUUUUUUCCAUUAUAGCUGGUUUACAGUGUUCUGUCAUUUUCUACUGUACAGCAAGGUGACCCAGUCACACAUACACACACACAUUCCUUUUUCUCACAUGAUCAUGCUCCAUCAUAAGUGUCCCAUGUGGCUCACAGCAUAACUACUUGGCAUUGUGUCUAUAUUUCUUGAUUAUAGUAUAGAAAAAGUAGAUAUUAAAGCCAAAAUGAUUACAACCACUUUGACAAAACUCUUAUGACCUACCAGAACUUGAGCCUAAAUUUCAUACCGAAAAUUGAACAACAGUGAAGACAUGACACACCAAAACUGAGGACUCUCCUUUUAAACAUGGUGAAUUAAAUUACCAUUUGCUUUGAUGUCACACCCUUACUGGAAUUAUAGUAAUUUUGUUUUUUAAGGACAAAACUGGACAGUUGGUCACAGAGGUAAAAUGUUGGAAGCUGGAAAGCAGCAAGUGGUAACUGACUUCGUAGAGUUGAGAAAACUCACCUUUGCACUUUGAGUGGGGAAGGCCUAGAAUUGGUCUGGAAUUGUGCCGUUGAACACCCGGGUGCUUCAGGAAUUAGUGGCUGCAGAUACCUUGACACAGUUGUCUGAGGGUUAAUAGCAGGUUAAUAUUCAUGGUGCCAAAGAAGAGGUUUCUUAACCUUCAUCCAAGUUUCUGCUCUGACAUUCAGAGGGAAGCUCUGGUUAACGAUGUUAUGCUCGAAACCAGAGAGGAUUGGGUGGAAACUUACGUGUUGAACUGGGAAUCACGCCCAGUACCUUUUCUCCUCCGGGUGCUAAGGAUACUGGAUGUCAGGCUCCUACCCCCUGAUAGGAGGUGGGGUGGUUCUUCCUGCUGUAGCAAGCUGAUGAUGGGGAAGAAAGACCAGCAAGCUGACGACGGGGAAGAAAGACCAGCAAGCUGAUGAUGGGGAAGAAAGACCAACAUCUAAUAACCGAUGGGGGGGUCCCCCAGAGAAAUCAUCAGACUGAUCAUCUCAUGCCCAUACCUGCCCAUUAACACAAUUUCUAGGCAACUUUAAAUUCUUUUCCAUUAAAGUUUAUCGCAAGAUACUGAAUAUAGUCCCCAUGCCACACAGUAGGACCCCACUGUUUAUUCCAUCCACAGCAACUGCAUCUGCCAAUCCCAGACCCUCAGUCUGCCCCCCCCAACCCUAUCUGUUUUCUGUGUCCAUGUGUCUGUUUCUGUUUUGUAAAUAAGUUCAUUUGUAUCAUUUUGUAGAUUCCAUAUGUAAGGGAUAUUAUACUUGCCUUUCUCUGACGUCACCUAGUAUGAUAAUCUCUAGGUUCAUCAACUAGGCAACUUUUAAGUGUUUCAUUUUUUAUUUUUUUAAGAUUAAAAAAUUUGUUUUAAUACAUUGAUUUUUAUUUUUUUCCAUUAUAGCUGGUUGACAGUGUUCUGUCAGUUUUCUGCCGUACAGCAUGGUGACCCAGUUACACCAUGUAUGCAUUCUUUUUUCUCACAUCAUCAGGCUCCAUCACAAAUGACCAAACGUAGUUCCCAGAACUACACAGCAGGAUCUCAUUGCUAAUCCACUCCAAAGGCAACAGUCUGCAUCUGUGAACCCCAAGCAGCCCAUCCAUCCCGUUCCCUCCCCUCAUUUUAAAAUAUGAAGCUAAGGAUCAAACAUUUUAGGAUAACCAUAAUAAGAAAGGGAAGAAGGAAAUAUGAACAAUUCAAGAAGAAAACUUCUUUUGAAAGUUAUAUGUCUCUGGAAGAAGGGAUAAUUUUAUCUUUGACCAUGAAAGGAUGCUAGUUUAAAAAAAAGCAAUCCUCAGAAAACAGAGAUGAGCUCAGACAUUUAGAAUGUGAAAUAAUAGAAGAGUUAAAAAUUUAGGAUAUUAAACUUCUCGUAGAAGGUUAGAAGAUAAAAUUGAGAAAAUCUUUUCACAAAGUAGGCCAAAAAGAAAUGUAAAGUAGGAGAAAAUAAGAAAAUUAGAGAAUCACUCUUGAUUAAGUUCAACAUGAAAAGUCAGAAUUACAGCAGGGGAGGAAAUGGAUGCAGGAAAUUAUUUAAGAAUACUUGAACGAAGAUCUCGCAUUUACAAAUGGGAAGAACUCAGCAGGCACAGCAUAAGUGACUGGAAGAAAACAUCAGAAAAAGUACAUCGUGAUGGAAUUUCAGACUUGAGAAAUAAAGGGAAGAUCCUAAAAGCUUUUGGUUGUGGAGCAUAUAAGAGAAAUGAGGAAUCAGUAACAUUGGAAAAUAAUUGGUAAUGAAAUAAUGCCUGAAAAUCCUGAAGGUGGAGUUCCCGUCAUGGCGAAGCGAAAAGGAAUCCGACUAGGAACCAUGGGUUUGCUGGUUCGAUCCCUGGCCUCGCUCAGUGGGUUAAGGAUCCGGUGUUGCCAUGAGCUGUGGUGUAGGUUGCAGGCGCAGGUCAGAUCUGGCGUUGCUGUGGCUGUGGUGUAGGCUGGUGGCUACAGCUCCGAUUUGACCCCUAGCCUGGGAACCUCCAUGUGCCUUGGAUGUGGCCCUAAAAAGACAAAAGACAAAAAAAUAAUAAUAAUAAUAAUCCUGAAGGCAGGUUAUUUCCCAAGUACUAAUUCUGUACCUUCCCAAGCUGUCAAGUGUGGGGAGUAGGCUAAAAAUAUGAAACAUGAGGUUGUUAGAGUAUUUACUUCAAAUGCACUGUAUCUCAGGGACGUUACUAAGGUCAUGGGUUCAAUCAGAAUGAUGGGGUGGAGUUCCCGUCGUGGCGCAGUGGUUAACGAAUCCGACUAGGAACCAUGGGGUCACGGGUUCGAUCCCUGGCCUUGCUCAGUGGGUUAACGAUCUGGCAUUGCCGUGAGCUGUGGUGUAGGUCGCAGAUGCGGCUCGGAUCCUGCGUUGCUCUGGCUCUGGCGUAGGCUGGGAGCUGCAGCUCUGAUUAGACCCCUAGCCUGGGAACCUCCAUAUGC